GCUGAAACCUUAGUGAUGUGAUUAGGCGACUCUAAACAAGGAUAAUCCUCGGGGUUCACCCCUCGAGCACUAGCCGCCCUCUGUGGUGGGCGACGUUACCAUUCUGCGGGAACGUUCGCGCCGGUCGAGAACCGGUCGGGGACUACCCGCAGCCACACUCGUGGCUCACAGGCUAAAUGGUAAUGGGCGUGGGUGCUGGGCACCCGCGCUUCAGAUAUAGUCGGUCCCCCAGACAUCUCUGGGGCGAGGAAACGUUCCGUAGGUGAACCUGCGGAAGGAUCAUUA
RNAcentral lists this ribosomal RNA (285 nucleotides) under Parmotrema hypotropum. RNAcentral describes it as "partial 18S ribosomal RNA". The record is from RNAcentral. Lineage: Eukaryota; Fungi; Ascomycota; Lecanoromycetes; Lecanorales; Parmeliaceae.